CGCUUCCAUGAACUGGAUCCUUAGGCUUCAUAGGAUUGGGCCUUGUCAUCAAAUCUUGAUUCUCUUUCCUUGGCCCAGGCUUCUCCUGAACCUUGUUACCGAAUUGGCACGAAAUCUGAUGGUUGCCUCCUAGGUAACUGAAAUGCCCUCCUAAGGCCACAUGACGUGGGAGGUAUGGGGAGGAUCAAAUCUACACUUGAAACCCACUAAUGUAUUUAAUACCAAAAUAAUAACCACCUAUAAUUAAACCCC
RNAcentral lists this long non-coding RNA (252 nucleotides) under Carica papaya (papaya). Its description in RNAcentral is "long non-coding RNA (CPAP_LNC011036)". Lineage: Eukaryota; Viridiplantae; Streptophyta; Magnoliopsida; Brassicales; Caricaceae. The record is from RNAcentral.